GCGGGAAUAGCUCAGUUGGUAGAGUACAACCUUGCCAUGGUUGGGGUCGCGAGUUCGAAUCUCGUUUCCCGCU
Molecule: transfer RNA, 73 nt
Filed under: Enterobacteriaceae endosymbiont of Donacia cincticornis
Lineage: Bacteria; Pseudomonadati; Pseudomonadota; Gammaproteobacteria; Enterobacterales; Enterobacteriaceae
Also listed under: 3 other names
Description: tRNA-Gly
Rfam family: tRNA
About the family: Transfer RNA (tRNA) molecules are approximately 80 nucleotides in length. Their secondary structure includes four short double-helical elements and three loops (D, anti-codon, and T loops).
Source: RNAcentral